UACGUAGGGGGCAAGCGUUGUCCGGAUUUAUUGGGCGUAAAGAGCGUGUAGGCGGCUCCACAGGUCCGCUGUGAAAACUCGAGGCUCAACCUCGAGCUGUCGGUGGAAACCGUGUGGCUAGAGUCCGGAAGAGGAGAGUGGAAUUCCCGGUGUAGCGGUGAAAUGCGCAGAUAUCGGGAAGAACACCCGUGGCGAAGGCGGCUCUCUGGGACGGUACUGACGCUGAGACGCGAAAGCGUGGGGAGCAAACAGG
RNAcentral lists this ribosomal RNA (253 nucleotides) under uncultured bacterium. RNAcentral's name for it is "partial 16S ribosomal RNA". It matches the Rfam family "Bacterial small subunit ribosomal RNA", at positions 524 to 776 of the family's 1533-position model. The record is from RNAcentral.